Molecule: long non-coding RNA, 1247 nt
Filed under: Homo sapiens (human)
Lineage: Eukaryota; Metazoa; Chordata; Mammalia; Primates; Hominidae
Description: HSALNT0352484
Source: RNAcentral
GUGAGGCCCAGAGUGCCCACCCAGAACUCCACCUCUGACCUCACAAAGGCCUGCUUCAGAACUCAGUCUCCACUGCACUGCUGGCCAGACGAGGGAAGUUAUUUUGGGCAGUGCAUCUGGACUUGGUUCAAGUGGCACCAGCCAAAUCCCUGCCUUACUGACCUCUCCCCUGGAGGAGCAGGAGCAGCGCUCAAGGCCGCCUUGGGAGGGCUGAGAGGCAGGCUCUGGACUGGGGACACAGGGAUAGCUGAGCCCCAGCUGGGGGUGGAAGCUGAGCCAGAGACAGUCACAGAGGAACAAGAUCAAGAUGCGCUUUAACUGAGAAGCCCCCAAGGCAGAGGCUGAGAAUCAGAAGACAUUUCAGCAGACAUCUACAAAUCUGAAGGACAAAACAUGGUUCAAGCAUCUGGGCACAGGCGGUCCACCCGUGGCUCCAAAAUGGUCUCCUGGUCCGUGAUAGCAAAGAUCCAGGAAAUAUGAUGCGAGGAAGAUGAGAGGAAGAUGGCGCGAGAGUUCCUGGCCGAGUUCAUGAGCACAUAUGUCAUGAUGAACAUACAUAUGAUAGUUGAGAAAGACACAUAUUCUGAUCAUGAAGAAAUAAACACAAGUUAAAUAUGACUAAGCAGAAAGAUGGAAGGACCAGGAACGGUGAUGCUAACUUGGAACCACGAUGCAGGCUCUAAACUCCUCUACAAUCAUCCUCCCUUGUGAGAAAAAUACAUAAGAUCUAAGGCACAUGAGAUGAUAUGCUUUCUGUUUGAGUUUCUCCUUUAUGUUACGCAUACUGAUAAAAUUGUUGAUGCCAGUUGAUCUGAAGGUCCCAGCAAGGAGCCGACUCACAGAAGAAUGCAGUUUUCACAUCAUGAUGAUUUAAUCUUCCUUGACCUGAGCAAUUGACAACCCCAAUUCUCCAGAACCUCACCCGCCACAAUCCCCUUAAAAACCCUGGCCCAGAACCCCUCAAGCAGACAGAUGUGAAGCUUGAGGAUUCCUUCAUCUCUUUGCCCAAUGGCAUUGUGAUUAUUAAACUCUUUUUCUGCUGCAAAUUAUGAUGUCUCAGUGUAUUGGUCUAUUGCUGCUCAGUGGGCAUAUGAAUCUGGCAGUCCUGUAAUAGGGACAAAAGAUAAACUACUGGCAAAACACUCGUAAAAGUCAUAACCUAAGACAUAGGCCCACUGAAAGGCGGAUAUUCAAUCAGAGCACUGUAGAACAUAUUUCUCUGCUCAUACCAUAAAAUUUAAACCAAC